Long non-coding RNA from Planococcus citri (citrus mealybug), 1024 nucleotides. RefSeq lists it as uncharacterized. The transcript has 4 exons. Lineage: Eukaryota; Metazoa; Arthropoda; Insecta; Hemiptera; Pseudococcidae. The record is from RefSeq and is a predicted model, not a curated record.
CAUAUUCAAUUGCUCAGUCAAAAUUGUUCGGGUGGAUUUUAAAUGAGAAAUUCAUAACUAUUUUUGAGACCCACGAUUCUGCAGCUUGAUUCCAAGAAUCAAGUCAUAGUUUUUCAAAAUUUUGAGUAAAUGUGAGUUCUGACUCAAAUUCCUUGAUUUAGAGCGAAUUUGAGAUCACUCUGAUGCAUUUUCAUGGCAUGUUCAUUGUUCAAUAUACAUCUGAGUGGCUGUUAGGUCAAUUGAUGGGAGUGAUCAUAGUGUGAUCUUCUUGUGAUGGCCUUUUGAUGAUUUAUUCUACUUGAUUUAGGUGAUCGACAGAUCGAAUGAUUAAUCAAGUAUAAUUUAUGUUAUUUAAUGAUUUCUAUUUUUCAUUUUUUGCAGGAAUAAAACCAGAUGGCUCAUUCGGGAUCGAUACCGUCAUUGUUUUUUUGGCUUGGUCCCUUUACUUACUGAAAUUGGAAAACGGAUUCUACAAGUUUCUCGUUGUUCGAUCAAGGAAUUCUCUCCAGAAACCAAAAAGAUGGCCGAGGACACCAGACGAUGAAUGAACUGCACCACGACAACAAAAAGCAAAAAUGGUCAAACGAUCGCGCGAGGACAAGAUUCUUCCAAAACAAUAAGAGGACAUGCUACGUAAUAGUAAGUAAGUUAAUUUUAUGAUUUACCUACAUAUUGACUUACAUUUUUAAUUCAUGAAUUUAGAAUUUUAUGUGAAAAUUGGUUGAUGCCCUUUAGCUUACCUUUAGCAAUUGAUUAUACCAGAUAAUCUCCAUCAAAAGUCCCCUCCUAAUUCAGACAGAGAAAAGUAGAUAUGUAUUUAUUCGGCUGAACAUUUAAACGCUAUACACGAAGUGAUCAAUUUUUAUACAAUAAUAACGUGAUACUUAAGAGGGUAGGCAGAUUUAUUAAAAAACCUAUAAAUAUAACGAUUUGAAAGAAUUAUUAUUUUAUUGAAUCAAAAAAGAUCUUGAGGAUAUUUUAACGUGUUUUAAGACAAUUUAUAAGAUUUUUGCUAAGUAGGAAU